This 438-nucleotide ribosomal RNA is filed under the name uncultured fungus. Its description in RNAcentral is "eukaryotic LSU rRNA". The stretch from base 113 to 266 matches the Rfam family "5.8S ribosomal RNA". Lineage: Eukaryota; Fungi. The record is from RNAcentral.
AAGUCGUAACAAGGUUUCCGUAGGUGAACCUGCGGAAGGAUCAUUAGAGAAAUAAAUCCAAAAAACUGUGCACUAAACUUUUUAAAUUCAACAGUCACAAUAUAAAUGAUACAACUUUUAGCAACGGAUCUCUAGGUUCUCGCAACGAUGAAGAACGCAGCGAAUUGCGAAAAGUAAUGUGAAUUGCAUAAUUCCGUGAAUCAUCAAAUCUUUGAACGCACCUUGCGCUAGCUGGAAUUCCGGCUAGCAUGCCUGUUUGAGUAUCAGAACUAAAUCACCCCAGGGUGGAUGUGGACGGCGUUAUCAACCCGUCUUAAAGACAUGAGUACUGCAAAGUGCCAAUAGAGACAGUCCCUCGGGAAUAUCUAGCAACACUUUGUAAUAUCCUCUCUUCGAAACUAUGAUCUCAAAUCAAGCAAGAUUACCCGCUGAACUUAA